GAGCCCGUGGCUCAAUGGUAAGAGCGUUCGACUUCUAAUCAACAGAUCACGGGUUUGAGCCUCGGUUGGCGCA
RNAcentral lists this transfer RNA (73 nucleotides) under Schistocephalus solidus. It matches the Rfam family "tRNA". From Rfam's summary of the family: Transfer RNA (tRNA) molecules are approximately 80 nucleotides in length. Their secondary structure includes four short double-helical elements and three loops (D, anti-codon, and T loops). Further hydrogen bonds mediate the characteristic L-shaped molecular structure. tRNAs have two regions of fundamental functional importance: the anti-codon, which is responsible for specific mRNA codon recognition, and the 3' end, to which the tRNAs corresponding amino acid is attached (by aminoacyl-tRNA synthetases). tRNAs cope with the degeneracy of the genetic code in two manners: having more than one tRNA (with a specific anti-codon) for a particular amino acid; and 'wobble' base-pairing, i.e. permitting non-standard base-pairing at the 3rd anti-codon position. Lineage: Eukaryota; Metazoa; Platyhelminthes; Cestoda; Diphyllobothriidea; Diphyllobothriidae. The record is from Rfam by way of RNAcentral.